Molecule: ribosomal RNA, 510 nt
Filed under: uncultured bacterium
Lineage: Bacteria
Description: partial 16S ribosomal RNA
Rfam family: Bacterial small subunit ribosomal RNA
Source: RNAcentral
GACGAACGCUGGCGGCGUGCUUAACACAUGCAAGUCGAACGAAGAGCGAUGGAAGCUUGCUUCUAUCAAUCUUAGUGGCGAACGGGUGAGUAACGCGUAAUCAACCUGCCCUUCAGAGGGGGACAACAGUUGGAAACGACUGCUAAUACCGCAUACGAUCUGACCUCGGCAUCGAGGAUAGAUGAAAGGUGGCCUCUAUUUAUAAGCUAUCACUGAAGGAGGGGAUUGCGUCUGAUUAGCUAGUUGGAGGGGUAACGGCCCACCAAGGCGAUGAUCAGUAGCCGGUCUGAGAGGAUGAACGGCCACAUUGGGACUGAGACACGGCCCAGACUCCUACGGGAGGCAGCAGUGGGGAAUCUUCCGCAAUGGACGAAAGUCUGACGGGGCAACGCCGCGUGAGUGAUGACGGCCUUCGGGUUGUAAAGCUCUGUUAAUCGGGACGAAAGGCCUUCUUGCGAAUAGUUAGAAGGAUUGACGGUACCGGAAUAGAAAGCCACGGCUAACUACGUG